This 943-nucleotide ribosomal RNA is filed under the name Sarocladium implicatum. Its description in RNAcentral is "eukaryotic LSU rRNA". It matches the Rfam family "Eukaryotic large subunit ribosomal RNA", at positions 107 to 1081 of the family's 3401-position model. The record is from RNAcentral. Lineage: Eukaryota; Fungi; Ascomycota; Sordariomycetes; Hypocreales; Sarocladiaceae.
GCUCAAAUUUGAAAUCUGGCCGCAAGGUCCGAGUUGUAAUUUGUAGAGGAUGCUUUUGGCGAGGUGACUUCCGAGUUCCCUGGAACGGGACGCCAUAGAGGGUGAGAGCCCCGUACGGUCGGCCACCGAGCCUCUGUAAAGCUCCUUCGACGAGUCGAGUAGUUUGGGAAUGCUGCUCUAAAUGGGAGGUGUACGUCUUCUAAAGCUAAAUACCGGCCAGAGACCGAUAGCGCACAAGUAGAGUGAUCGAAAGAUGAAAAGCACUUUGAAAAGAGGGUUAAAAAGUACGUGAAAUUGUUGAAAGGGAAGCAUUCAUGACCAGACUUGGGCUUGGUUGAACAUCCGGCGUUCUCGCCGGUGCACUCUGCCAGCUCAGGCCAGCAUCAGUUUGCCCCGGGGGACAAAGGCGGCGGGAAUGUGGCUCCCUACGGGGAGUGUUAUAGCCCGUCGUGUAAUGCCCUGGGGUGGACUGAGGUUCGCGCUUCGGCACGGAUGCUGGCGUAAUGGUCAUCAAUGACCCGUCUUGAAACACGGACCAAGGAGUCGUCUUCGUAUGCGAGUGUUCGGGUGUCAAACCCCUACGCGUAAUGAAAGUGAACGUAGGUGAGAGCUUCGGCGCAUCACCGACCGAUCCUGAUGUUCUCGGAUGGAUUUGAGUAAGAGCAUACGGGGCCGGACCCGAAAGAAGGUGAACUAUGCCUGUAUAGGGUGAAGCCAGAGGAAACUCUGGUGGAGGCUCGCAGCGGUUCUGACGUGCAAAUCGAUCGUCAAAUAUGGGCAUGGGGGCGAAAGACUAAUCGAACCUUCUAGUAGCUGGUUUCCGCCGAAGUUUCCCUCAGGAUAGCAGUGUUGAACUCAGUUUUAUGAGGUAAAGCGAAUGAUUAGGGACCAGGGGGCGCUAUAUAGCCUUCAUCCAUUCUCAAACUUUAAAUAUGUAAGAAGC